This 235-nucleotide long non-coding RNA is filed under the name Citrus sinensis (sweet orange). RNAcentral describes it as "long non-coding RNA (CSIN_LNC002530)". Lineage: Eukaryota; Viridiplantae; Streptophyta; Magnoliopsida; Sapindales; Rutaceae. The record is from RNAcentral.
AAUUUUGACUAAAUCUCAACCGUUCAUGAUUCAAUGGCCAUGAUUGUGCCACGUGGCAAUGGUUGGUGAAGCAAGUUGGAGGAUCCGAAUCUUUGUAUUCGGGUCGACCCGAUCCACCCAUUAACCCGCCAAAUCUCAACCGUUCUUUGGGCAAAUCGGACGAGUCAAACGAUGCCACGUGUGAGGUUGACUUUUGAAGUUUGACCAGCUAUUGGAUCUUGAUCUAAAGGUUGUG